UUGAUGUCCGCCGUAGCGAUCGCCAUCAACACAACAACAAUUUAUCUAAAUCAACAGCGAUGAAUUUCGCAAUACGAUUUUGGAUCUGAACAAUGUACGUUCCGAUCAGCUGAUCCAAAAACACUAUCCUAGGUGUAAUUAUAGUCGGAACUCACCGGAGUUCUCAUGAUGUGGCCGGACGAAAACUGAUAUGGAGUACAUUUAAUGAAAAAAAAAAGUUGUUACAUAAUAUUUCGAUAACGGUUCCUAAUAUCCACAAAUGAAAAAUGCAU
Molecule: non-coding RNA, 272 nt
Organism: Cinara cedri
Lineage: Eukaryota; Metazoa; Arthropoda; Insecta; Hemiptera; Aphididae
Source: the annotation of a GenBank genome assembly